RNAcentral lists this unclassified non-coding RNA (301 nucleotides) under plant metagenome. Its description in RNAcentral is "partial contains 5.8S ribosomal RNA, internal transcribed spacer 2, and large subunit ribosomal RNA". The stretch from base 1 to 103 matches the Rfam family "5.8S ribosomal RNA", at positions 50 to 154 of the family's 154-position model. The record is from RNAcentral.
GAAAUGCGAUAAGUAAUGUGAAUUGCGAAUUCAGUGAAUCAUCGAAUCUUUGAACGCACAUUGCGCCCGCCAGUAUUCUGGCGGGCAUGCCUGUUGAGCGUCAUUUCAACCAUCAAGCCCCCGGCUUGUGUUGGGGACCUGCGGCUGCCCGCAGGCCCUGAAAACCAGUGGCGGGCUCGCUGUCACACCGAGCGUAGUAGCAUACAUCUCGCUCAGGGCGUGCUGCGGGUUCCGGCCGUUAAAAGCCUUUUUUACCCAAGGUUGACCUCGGAUCAGGUAGGAAGACCCGCUGAACUUAAGC